Molecule: ribosomal RNA, 220 nt
Filed under: uncultured bacterium
Lineage: Bacteria
Description: partial 16S ribosomal RNA
Rfam family: Bacterial small subunit ribosomal RNA
Source: RNAcentral
GAUCCUGGCUCAAGACGAACGCUGGCGGCGUGCUUAACACAUGCAAGUCGAACGGAGCACCCUUGACUGAGGUUUCGGCCAAAUGAUAGGAAUGCUUAGUGGCGGACUGGUGAGUAACGCGUGAGGAACCUGCCUUUCAGAGGGGGACAACAGUUGGAAACGACUGCUAAUACCGCAUGACGCAUUUUGAUCGCAUGGUCGAAAUGCCAAAGAUUUAUCG